UAGUACGGCGAGUGAAGCGGGAAGAGCUCAACUUCAAAAGCCAGUGCCCCGGCGGGCAUUGGCGAUGUGGGGUAGAGGGGUGUUGCCUAGCCAGCGGGCCGAGUCAAAAUCCGUUGGAAAACGGUGCCAUGGAGGGUGAGAGCCCCGUCUAUGGCUCGGAACUCGCGGCGUCCGGCACAUCUCGGACGAGUCGAGUUGUUUGGGAAUGCAGCUCCAAGUGGGAGGUAAAUUCCUUCUAAAGCUAAAUAUUGACGAGAGACCGAUAGCGAACAAGUACUGUGAAGGAAAGAUGAAAAGCACUUUGAAAAGAGAGUGAAAAAGUACGUGAAAUUGUUAAAAGGGAAGGGUAUUGAAUCAGACUUGGUGCUGUUGUUCAACUGUGUUUCGGCAUAGUGUACUCAGCAGUACUAGGCCAAGGUGGGGUGUUUGGGAGUGAAAAAGAAGUAGGAAGGUAGCUCUUCGGAGUGUUAUAGACUACUUUCAUAGCUCCUUAGGCGCCUCAGGACUGCGCUUCGGCAAGGACCUUGGCAUAAUGAUUCUAUACCGCCCGUCUUGAACAACGGAAACAA
RNAcentral lists this ribosomal RNA (569 nucleotides) under uncultured yeast. RNAcentral describes it as "partial large subunit ribosomal RNA". It matches the Rfam family "Eukaryotic large subunit ribosomal RNA", at positions 81 to 664 of the family's 3401-position model. The record is from RNAcentral. Lineage: Eukaryota; Fungi.